AUUGAACGCUGGCGGCAGGCUUAACACAUGCAAGUCGAGCGGGGGAAGGUAGCUUGCUACUGGACCUAGCGGCGGACGGGUGAGUAAUGCUUAGGAAUCUGCCUAUUAGUGGGGGACAACAUUCCGAAAGGAAUGCUAAUACCGCAUACGCCCUACGGGGGAAAGCAGGGGAUCUUCGGACCUUGCGCUAAUAGAUGAGCCUAAGUCGGAUUAGCUAGUUGGUGGGGUAAAGGCCUACCAAGGCGACGAUCUGUAGCGGGUCUGAGAGGAUGAUCCGCCACACUGGGACUGAGACACGGCCCUGACUCCUACGGGAGGCAGCAGUGGGGAAUAUUGGACAAUGGGCGGAAGCCUGAUCCAGCCAUGCCGCGUGUGUGAAGAAGGCCUUUUGGUUGUAAAGCACUUUAAGCGAGGAGGAGGCUACUUAGAUUAAUACUCUGGGAUAGUGGACGUUACUCGCAGAAUAAGCACCGGCUAACUCUGUGCCAGCCGCCGCGGUAA
RNAcentral lists this ribosomal RNA (501 nucleotides) under uncultured bacterium. RNAcentral's name for it is "partial 16S ribosomal RNA". It matches the Rfam family "Bacterial small subunit ribosomal RNA", at positions 30 to 523 of the family's 1533-position model. The record is from RNAcentral.